This 372-nucleotide ribosomal RNA is filed under the name uncultured organism. RNAcentral's name for it is "bacterial SSU rRNA". It matches the Rfam family "Bacterial small subunit ribosomal RNA", at positions 526 to 896 of the family's 1533-position model. The record is from RNAcentral.
CGAGGGGUGCAAGCGUUGCUCGGAAUUAUUGGGCGUAAAGGGUAGGUAGGUGGUCUUAUUUGUCUGGGGUGAAAUCCUUGAGCUUAACUCAAGAAGUGCCCUAGAAGCGGUAAGACUAGAGUCCUGGAGAGGGUCGUGGAAUUCCCGGUGUAGCGGUGAAAUGCGUAGAGAUCGGGAGGAACACCAGAGGCGAAGGCGGCGACCUGGACAGGUACUGACACUAAACUACGAAAGCGUGGGGAGCAAACAGGAUUAGAUACCCUGGUAGUCCACGCUGUAAACGAUGAGUACUAGGCUUGGUGGGUCUUGACCCCCGCUGAGCCGGAGCUAACGCACUAAGUACUCCGCCUGGGAAGUACGGUCGCAAGACUA